Molecule: ribosomal RNA, 752 nt
Filed under: uncultured bacterium
Lineage: Bacteria
Description: bacterial SSU rRNA
Rfam family: Bacterial small subunit ribosomal RNA
Source: RNAcentral
AGAGUUUGAUCAUGGCUCAGAACGAACGCUGGCGGCAUGCCUAACACAUGCAAGUCGAACGUGAUCCAGGCUUCGGCCUGGUGAAAGUGGCAGACGGGUGAGCAACGCGUGGGAACCUGCCCUGUGGUAGGGAAUAACCGUGGGAAACUGCGGCUAAUACCCUAUGAGUCCUUCGGGAGAAAGAUUUAUCGCCAUAGGAGGGGCCCGCGUCGGAUUAGGUAGUUGGUGGGGUAACGGCCUACCAAGCCUUCGAUCCGUAGCUGGUCUGAGAGGAUGAUCAGCCACACUGGGACUGAGAUACGGCCCAGACUCCUACGGGAGGCAGCAGUGGGGAAUAUUGGACAAUGGGGGCAACCCUGAUCCAGCAAUGCCGCGUGGAUGAUGAAGGCCUUCGGGUUGUAAAGUCCUUUCGGCGGGGAAGAUGAUGACGGUACCCGCAGAAGAAGCCCCGGCUAACUUCGUGCCAGCAGCCGCGGUAAUACGAAGGGGGCUAGCGUUGUUCGGAAUUACUGGGCGUAAAGGGCGCGUAGGCUGUGCUGUAAGUCAGGCGUGAAAGCCCCGGGCUCAACCUGGGAAUUGCGCUUGAUACUGCGGCGCUGGAAGGUGGGAGAGGAUGGCGGAAUUCCCAGUGUAGAGGUGAAAUUCGUAGAUAUUGGGAAGAACACCGGUGGCGAAGGCGGCCAUCUGGCCCACAAUUGACGCUGAGGCGCGAAAGCGUGGGGAGCAAACAGGAUUAGAUACCCUAGUAGUCC